Molecule: long non-coding RNA, 2657 nt
Organism: Sarcophilus harrisii (Tasmanian devil)
Lineage: Eukaryota; Metazoa; Chordata; Mammalia; Dasyuromorphia; Dasyuridae
Exons: 3
Source: RefSeq, a predicted model, not a curated record
AGAGCGCGGGGCGUGGCCUCGUCCUUGGAGAUGCUGCUGACCGCCCACAGAGAGCUUGUGUGCACCGCGCUGCACCUUGGCCCCGCUGCGGCUCCUCAGGCUGCUGACCAGCGCGCCUAGCUGCGACCAGCGCAUCUAACUACAGCCACCCGGACCUGAACAUCCUCAUAUCCAUCCUCCAGGAUCCCGGCCAAGCCGCGGGAGGAGAGGCCACCAAGUCCACCUCAACAUUGGUGAGGCGAUCGGGAUCAGAUGCGAAUCCUCGUCCCCUUCGUUGCAUUGCACAGCGCCUACAGAGCACACAGCCUUGGAGCCCAGAGGCUAGGAGCAGGGAUGGCCGGGGAUGCUGCGCCCACCGCACCGGUUCAAAGAGAGCCCAUCCCCAGAGAAGCUGAUCGAGAGAGACUCUAGAGAUCAAGGAGGCCUCUCUUGGAAGGUGAGGGAGACCCAGGGAAGUGAAGGGACUCGCUGAAGAUCAUGUAAAUACACCCCAAAUCCAGCACUCUUCCACUCUUCCACUGCCAAGUUGAUGUCCCUGGAAAGGGAGAGAAGAGCAGAAUGAGAAAGGAGGGAGAUGGAACUUUGUGCGGCUCCCCACAAAAUUCAUCAUCAGAGACUGAAUGUUGCCUCUAAGAAAUUAAUUCAUAUGCCAUUUCUCACACUCUUAUGAAAACUUACAUCGGUCUUUCCUGAUCUCUUCAUCUGGGCUCCUUUCAGGAUCGGCACAGAAUCCUUGGCUUCCCUCAAGGCUCAACUCAGAUGCCAGCCCUCUGUGAAGCCUCUUUUGUUAGUGACUUCAUCCACCUGGAUUUUCUUUGUACUAUGCUUGUUGGUGUAAAUGGAAAAUUUGGGGUGGAUUCCGGGAAAAUGGUGGAACAGCCUGAAGCUUCUCAUAGACAUCCCAGGAUACGUGAUACGGGUACAGACUUCCUGCCUUGUCGUGGAAUUAAACAAACGUCCCCUUGGUGCUAACACUGUGAUUCAACUCCCCUGCAGCCUUCCUUGCAAAGGAGGACAAAGCAACUACAUUCAAAAGGGCUGGAUGCACACUCUGAUUUUUCAUCUCUAAAAACCCAUUUAACAGUGAACGCCUUUCAAAUACAGUGCAGUCAGAGCCCAGAGAAUCAAAGAGCUGGAAGUGGCCUCAUGUGGGGUAUCUACCUAGCUCUCCUGCCUCCAAGCAAGACAUUUGUUGAAUGCAUGUUGGAGAUGACAACAUAGACUAUUCAUGACAAAUGACUGAUGACUGUACUCUUAAAGUUCCCUGGGGCUAAAAGCUUUGGUAAGUCUUGUAACCUCUUCCAAAGUUUAACAGCCCUCUGUAUCAAGGAAGUUUAUUUUGAUAUUCAAUGCCCCUUCUUUAUCUUCACCUGUUGAUGUAGUAUUUGGUUCCACUAUGUGCAGAAUCAACAUUCAGGGGAAAAAUUGGAGUAGGGACAGGAACUGGACUUGCAAGUUUAUGGGUAUAGAGAACUACCAGGUGAAUAAAUGCCUUCCACCAAUGUACCUUCUCUGUCACUCAUAGUCUGAAUUACCUGGAAUUCUGGCAAGGUCAGUAACUUGCCCAGGAAUACACAGCUAAUAGGUGUCAGGGGCAAUAUUUGAACCCAGUUCUUCCUGAUUUCAAGACUAUCUCUCUAUCCACCUAUGUUAUUGUUAAAAAUACAAGAGGACAUUAUAUAAGGGAUGCCAUCAAUAAACUGAGGUGAAUUGGGGAAUAAUUGGUUAGUAACAUAAUAUCACAUAGUUCCUUACUAAUAACAAUUCCUGACAUUUAUAUGAAGUUAACAAAAUAUCUCAUUUGAGCUUCACAACAAUCUCAUGGGUUAUAUGUUAUUAUCUCCAUUUACAAAAAAUGAAAUUGAGGCUAUUAGAGCUUAAAUGGCUUAUUGAGUAAUAAUAGAUGUAAAGUUAUAAGCAUAGGUUCAAAAAAUCAAUGGCACGUUUAUAGAAAGGGGAAGACACAGCAAAACUGCUCUCCUUUUAAAAAAUCUGUCAAUACAAAUAGGUUACAAAUUUAAAACAGCAGUAAUGGGACAUGACUAUCCAAAAAGAUACUGUGAUCUUAGAUUGCAUUAAUAUCCUUCCAAGCACCCCACCAGGAUCCCAGGACCCUAGCAGAAACAGUAGAACCUUAAUAUUGUGGUGCUACUAUAUACACAGUCUCCCUUGAGGAAGAAUAAAUCUACAUUAUCAUUGCUUACUACUGGAAAGGGCAUGAUAAUCUAUUUCCCUACAGCUUCACUUGGAUGCUGAAAAACCAAGUUUUAGCCAACCUAAGUCAAAGCUCUAUUUUCUGCCAUCUUUGCCCACUCAAAUAUCCAUCCACUUCAAUCCUAUUCUUCUAAAGUUUCCAUUCAACUGUAUUCUUUCCUUCCAUUACAAUAGCCUGUCCUUUCAGGUAGUCUUUUACAUUAUAUUAUUACUCUACUCUUCAGUCCAGUGACUUGCUAUUAUGUAGGUCAUCUUCUUGCCUUUAUACAGGCUGGCUACAAUUUCUGAAAGGCUUUUGCUCCUAAAUUUUACCUCUUGGAAACUCUACAUGUCUUUAAACUCAGAUGCCACAUUCUUUAAGAGGUCUCUCCUGAUAUUUCCAGUUGUUAAUUCUUCCUCUGCAUUUUGUCUUUCUUUGUCACAUCAUCAGUAGUUAACAUAGU